UACGGGGGGGGCAAGCGUUGUUCGGAAUUACUAGGCGUAAAGGGCUCGUAGGUGGCCAACUAAGUCAGACGUGAAAUCCCUCGGCUUAACCGGGGAACUGCGUCUGAUACUGGAUGGCUUGAGUUUGGGAGAGGGACGCGGAAUUCCAGGUGUAGCGGUGAAAUGCGUAGAUAUCUGGAGGAACACCGGUGGCGAAGGCGGCGUCCUGGACCAACACUGACACUGAUGAGCGAAAGCCAGGGGAGCAAACGGG
This 253-nucleotide ribosomal RNA is filed under the name uncultured bacterium. Its description in RNAcentral is "partial 16S ribosomal RNA". It matches the Rfam family "Bacterial small subunit ribosomal RNA", at positions 524 to 776 of the family's 1533-position model. The record is from RNAcentral.